RNAcentral lists this transfer RNA (91 nucleotides) under Streptomyces violaceusniger. Its description in RNAcentral is "tRNA-Ser". It matches the Rfam family "tRNA". Rfam says of the family: Transfer RNA (tRNA) molecules are approximately 80 nucleotides in length. Their secondary structure includes four short double-helical elements and three loops (D, anti-codon, and T loops). Lineage: Bacteria; Bacillati; Actinomycetota; Actinomycetes; Kitasatosporales; Streptomycetaceae. The record is from RNAcentral. RNAcentral also lists the same sequence under 6 other names.
GGAGGCUUCGCCUAGUCUGGUCUAUGGCGCCGCACUGCUAAUGCGGUUUGGGUCUUAAAGCCCAUCGAGGGUUCAAAUCCCUCAGCCUCCG